RNAcentral lists this ribosomal RNA (406 nucleotides) under uncultured bacterium. Its description in RNAcentral is "partial 16S ribosomal RNA". It matches the Rfam family "Bacterial small subunit ribosomal RNA", at positions 30 to 526 of the family's 1533-position model. The record is from RNAcentral.
AUUGAACGCUGGCGGCAGGCCUAACACAUGCAAGUCGAACGAGUGGCGGACGGGUGAGUAAUGUCUGGGACACUGCCUGAUGGAGGGGUAUAACUACUGGAAGCGGUAGCUUAUCCCGCAUACCAUCGUAAGUGCCCAGAUGGGAUUAGCUAGUAGGUGGGGUAAAGGCUCACCUAGGCGACGAUCCCUAGCUGGUCUGAGAGGAUGACCAGCCACACUGGGACUGAUACACGGUCCAGACUCCUACGGGAGGCAGCAGUGGGGAAUAUUGCACAAUGGGCGCAAGCCUGAUGCAGCCAUGCCGCGUGUAUGAAGAAGGCCUUAGGGUUGUAAAGUACUUUCAGCGGGGAGGCGUUACCCGCAGAAGAAGCACCGGCUAACUCCGUGCCAGCCGCCGCGGUAAUAC